GUGGGAGUGUACCAGAUAGUGGGACUGUACCAUUAGAAACACCUCCAGCUAGUGGUAGUGAAUCACUAGACUUACAAGCAUUAUAAGUGUGUAGGAGUAAAUGUGGACAAAUUCCCCAUCAUCACUUUGAGAUUGAAGGGGAUGUUUUCAUAUGCACUCCUAAUGAUGAUGACAAGCCAUCCUCCAUGGAUGAAGCACUUGCAUCAUCUACAAGCAAAGAGUUGUUAGCUGCCAUGUAAGAUGAG
This 245-nucleotide long non-coding RNA is filed under the name Elaeis guineensis (African oil palm). Its description in RNAcentral is "long non-coding RNA (EGUI_LNC059417)". The record is from RNAcentral. Lineage: Eukaryota; Viridiplantae; Streptophyta; Magnoliopsida; Arecales; Arecaceae.